This 207-nucleotide small nuclear RNA is filed under the name Erinaceus europaeus (western European hedgehog). RNAcentral describes it as "7SK RNA". It matches the Rfam family "7SK RNA", at positions 1 to 199 of the family's 331-position model. From Rfam's summary of the family: 7SK was discovered as an abundant small nuclear RNA in the mid-70s but a possible function has only recently been suggested. The record is from Rfam by way of RNAcentral. Lineage: Eukaryota; Metazoa; Chordata; Mammalia; Eulipotyphla; Erinaceidae.
CGAUAUGAGGGCGAUCUGGCUGUGACAUCUGUCACCCCAUUGAUCGCCAGGGUUGAUUCAGCUGAUCUAGCUGGCUAGGUGGGUGUCCCCUUCCUCCCUCACCAUUCCGUGUGUGUCCCUCCCGAAGCUGUGCGCUCAGUCGAAGAGGACGGCCUUCCCCAAACAGAGACGGACAAGUCUUCCAUCUUCAGUCGAGGGUGUACAGGC